Molecule: long non-coding RNA, 5011 nt
Organism: Nothobranchius furzeri (turquoise killifish)
Lineage: Eukaryota; Metazoa; Chordata; Actinopteri; Cyprinodontiformes; Nothobranchiidae
Source: Ensembl
AUGUCUGCUGCCCCUGGUGGAGGGUCUGCAGAGGGAGUGGCGCAGCUGGCUGAAUGGGGCGUGAACCAUCUGUCCCCCAAUGUGGGGAAGACCCAAACUCCAGAGUCAGCAGCACAAAAUAUUUGGGGUGCAUACCACAGAGGAUCUUACCUGGACCACCAACACCAUGCCAAGCACAACAGUGCCUACACUUUCUCCGCCAGCUCAGAAGAGCAAGUCUCUGUUCAGUCGCCGCUGUUAGGUUCUGAUCCGAGGUUCUACCAGCUGACUGUUUCUUAAUGAUCUCAGAGCUCUGGUGGGUGUAUGUACAGGAAGGAGAUCUGACAUGUAUUCUGGCCCCGUGCCAUUGAGUGAUUUAUAAACUAGUAGGAGCACUUUGAAAUUUAUUCUGUAGUUCACUGGUAACCAGUGUAGAUAUUCCAGAACAGGAGAAAUGCACUCGGUUCUCUUGGUUCUUGUUAAGACUCUAGCAGCAGCCUUCUGAAUAAGCUGCAGUUGCUUCACAGCAUUUUUUGGGAAGACCAGUCAAUAGUCCAGCCUGCUGGAGAUGAACGCAUGAAUGAGUUUCUCUAAGUCUUGUCUGGACAUGAGACCUCUGAAUCUUCCUACUUGAUGUAGUUAUAGCCUUAAUGUGACCAGUGAAGCUCAGGUCUGAAUCAAAUAUGACACCAAGAUUUCUAACCUGGGUCCAAGUUAAGCGUUAACCUCCAUCCUAGCCUUCUUCUUUGCAAAGACAAUAACUUCAGUCUUGUCCUUGUCUUACUGGAGGAAGUUUGACUGCAUCCAGUCAGUAACUUGCUCCAAACACUGACAGAGUGAGUCUAGGGGACCACAGUCACUAAGCGAUAGAGCUAGGUACAUCUGGGUGUCAUCUGCAUAACUCUGCAAUAGCUAAUGUUGUUAUUGCAUAUGGCCUGGCCCGGGGGGGAGUGGGGGAGGGCAUGUAGAUUGAAGAGCAAUGCUCCAAGAAUUGAGCCUUGGGGGACCCCACAUGUCACGGUGAUCAGCUUUGAUUUGUGAUCACCAGUAGCAACAACGUAAACCCUCUCUUCAAGAUGACAUUGGAACCAACUCUGGACUGUGCCUGAGUCCCACCCAGCUUGUGAUCCUAUUGAGAAGGAUGUUGUGGUCCACAGUAUCAAAAGCUGCACUGAGAUCGAGCAUCAUUAGGACUGAUGUUUUACCUGAAUCUGUAUUUAUCUGUAUUUAUUUACUUCAUCAGUACCGUUUUAGUGCUGUGAUGUUUUCCAAAGCCUGACUGGAAACCAUCUAGCAGGUUGUUCGUCUCCAGUAAGUUGUGUAGAGCAUUUGUGACAUCACAAAUUGGAACUUUAAGAAAUUGCUCAUUUUAGGCAGAUAAUUCCUAAAGAUCAAACGCUGACAGGAAACUAAUGCUUACAGAGGAAGUGGGGACCCACAUGGCAUCACAGAAUGAUGUGAAAUGUUAAGUUAGAAUGAAAUAAUUGGUUUUUAAUGGAAAAAGUCACAUGAUGACAAAAUAAAACAAACGUCUGGCUUUAGUAACAGUUAUCUGAGUAUAUUUGAGUGACUGUAAGUUGGGACUUCUGACUCAUAUAAACUCAUUCACUGCCAAUGACGACUAAAGUCGCCAUUUGCAUUUUUUUACUGUUUGGGCAUCGGAACGAGCCCCCGCGCCGAGAGAAAACACAUCUCAGCUCUGAAGCCGAACUUCAUCCGCAUACGUCGCACGUCACGCAAUCAGGAAGCGGAACAUCCAUGUGUUAGGAGAUCGUUUUGGGCCGCUGCUGUAAAAAAGUGAGGCGCGAACCGGAAAAGCUUCUGCCGAUCACAAUUCAACAACGGAUUAUGAAAGAACGGAUAACGCUCGAAACGCGCAGAUUCUUCCUGAUGUAAGAGGUGAGUCUCCGCUUUGUUUUGGUUGUUUUUGCGUCGACAUCAUCCUAACGUGCAACGUUGUGUGACUCUUAAAAAAACAGUAAAAACGGUGAGAAACGCUGGCAGCGAAGGCCGUUAGCGAUCAGGAAACGGCUGGCAGUGAAUGAGUUAAUGACAAAUGCAAACUUUAUAACAGCAGCUGUUUGACAAAAGAGAAUUUAAACAUUCAGAAAAAUAACCUGCAAUUUUUUGUCCUUCAAGUCAAUUAAUAACUGUAAUUUAUCUGCAAAUGAGAACAAAAGUAUUUAGUAUAAAACUGCAAAUAAAACGCUGCUUUCUUUUCAUUUUUCUAACUCGUUGAUGCUGAUGAACACAAAGUCGUGGAGAAACCGGCAGCAGUUGUGAUCAGUGAGUUUUCUAGUCCGACCUCAAACCUCGGUGAUCUGAGCCUCAGUAUCUGUAUUUCUGUGGUUUGAGUCUUCAGGCCAGAAAACCGCGUUUGAAAAGCAGCAAUUAGAAUUUCAAUGAGUUAAAGACUGUCAGCUGUGCUCUGUUCAGCCUGAGAAGUCCUUAAAUCUGGCGGCUGCAGCCAUCCAUCUCUGUCCUCGGCCUCCUCAGCAGAAAGACGGAUGCAUUCAAUAAAUGUGUUCUUGAGAAAUCUGCAGGAAAUGAUUAAGAGUGAUAAAUGGGGAUGCGGGAAAUUUGCAGGAGACUGUUUCAUUUGACACCCAUUACAUCAUCAUCGGAGGAAGCAAAGUGAGCUUCUUGAAGAUGCCAGCAGCUUCAGGAGAAAAACAUGUCUGCUGCUCACGUUUGAAGCCGGAAACGAUGUUUCUUUGAAGCCAUUUUCUGGAAAAAACCCCAGAUAAUAAUAGGAGGUUUGUGAUUAAUGUUUCAUUGAAUGUGUUAAAAAUCUUGCAGCUAAUUAGGCAACAAAUUGUCACAUUCUCAAACGCAUGAAAGCAGAAAGUUUCACUGAGAGCCUGACACUUAAGAGAGCUGCUUAUCGGAGAGGUUUAAUGUGAGAAGCCCGGGCGGCUGACAGAGUCGCUGCGGAGAGGGUGAAACCAGACGGGAGGCUGGAUCAGGGCCGUGCUUGUCACCCUGUUACUGCGUUCUCACACCAGAUUACUGAAGCGGGGCGGGGGAGUGCACCUUGUUGUUCAGCCUCCAGAGAAAUGACUCCACCUGCAGCCUGAGCGUUUAAGCCCGUCUGGCUUUAAUGUUCUCUCUGUGACAGCGGCGGUUCUGACGUCUCUUUGAGAGUCGCUCUCUGGUCAGAGGUGUAUUAAAGAUGCUUUGAUUUUCCUUGAGAGCAACAUAAAUGUCAUUUAUUCUGUUAAUGUUCGUCUGGGUUUGAGACGAUGCUCCAGAAAACACUCGGCCUGCGUCAGCCUUCGGGGGGAGGCGAUGCUUCCCGGGGGACUUAUUAAUUCUCCAGCCGUAGCCGGGCUUGAUUGAUUUAAAGUCUAUUCUUAGUUGGCAUUUAGCUUAGUGCUAAAUGAUUUUCAGCUCAAACUGUCUCUCUGCUCUCGCCGGCGUCUCUCCCUCAGUGCCCCCCCUCAUCUAUUUUCCAUCUUCGCCGUCCUCUUGCACCUCUUCCUCUCUGCCUUGCUUCCUAAUUGGGUCUCUUUCCUUUUUCUCCUUUCUCCUCCCUUCAUCAGUUCUGAUUCCUGGGUGGGAAAAGGCGGCGUCUCGGGCUGAGAACAGCUGCCCCUCCAACUGUUCAAGCAUGGAUAGAUCUUGUUAGAGUCAGACAAACUACUCCUUAAACAGGCCGUCACGUGUGCACGACCCUUCCACCAUCUCCGUUUAGAAGUUUAGGGAUGAACUGCUCCCCCAGUGAGCUUCACUUGAUUGCUCAUCUUAGCAGGACGAGCUGCAGGCAGAGAGCAGCGCUCUUCACACGGAUGUGCAACGAGAGGAUCCCAGGAUUUGGGUAGAUGCAUAAACUCCAUUCCGCUCUACGAUGCAUUAAAGACGGAGACAGACUGAACGGAAAUCUGCUGCUUUAAAAUGUUGAUCAGUUGGGAUUAUCCUGCUAUGUGGUCCAUUUCUGGUUCGUUUCAUGUUUUUGUUUGAACCUCGGGCUUUCAUUGGCUCAUUUUAACCUGACAACCAAAAAGUCAAGGUUAUUCAGAAAAACACAAACCGUCUCCUGUAUUGCAGCAGUGUCACUUGUUUUUUUUACAUGCCAGGGUUUUGUAAGACCAGAUGUAUGGUGGCCUACGUGGUUCAACAACUUCAGCUACAACAGAAGUAAUAGUAAACUGGAACUGCAAGCAGUUAUCAAUGGGUUCCCAGCCGACCAGCGCCAGUCCCCCACCGGGCCCCGCCCUCGCCAUCCCUCACGUGGCCCCGCCCCAACAAAACGUUCUGCUGCUGGCGCCCCGUCAGCUCACUUCAGCUGGCGCAAUGAAAGGAACACUCAGGAUAACUCAUUGAAGCUUUUGCGCAGCCUAUACAAAAAUCUUUCAUAGACAUGGCUAACAUCUCCCUGAUCCAGUUCCAUCGUUUAAUUUUUAAAGAUGGUGGAGAAUUAGUCAUUUAAGUCAUGUGCUGUAUGGGACAGCAGUAGGUCAGGAGGUGGAGCGGGUUUUCCAGGAAUCAGAAGGAUGCGUGCUCGAUCCCAACUCUGACCAGAGAAUGCUGCCUCGUUUCUCGGUGCCCCCCAGGGCAGCUGUGGCUACAGUGUAGGUCAUGCACACCAGUGUGUGACUGUGUGUGUGAAAGACUGAUUGUGUUGUUUAAUGCCUUGGAGGGUUGUUGAACCCUACUAACGCGCUGUACGAAUAUUUCAAUAUUACCGACAAAGUUUAUUAAAUUCAUUAAAAACGUAUUCUUUUCAAAGAAAUUUCCAAAAUAUUCUUGGAUCAUCAUGGGGUCAAGACUCUCUGCCUGUGUGUUGGGGUUUACCCCGGGGGACGAGAGGGUAGCUUCCCUGCGCCUUCGGGUCGGGGAACGGGUCCUGACUGUUGUUUGUGCUUAUGGGCCAAAUAUCAGUUCAGAGUACCCACCCUUUUUGGAGUCCCUGGGACGAGUGCUAGAUAGUGCUCCAUCAGGGGACUCCAUUGUCCUGCUGGGGGACUUCAAUGCUCACGUGGGCAAUGACAGCUUGACCUGGAGGGGUGUGAUUGGGAGGAACGGCCCACCU